UUUACGGAGAGUUUGAUUCUGGCUCAGAGCGAACGCUGGCGGCGUGGAUAAGACAUGCAAGUCGAACGAAGCUUGUUCCUUGGCAACAAGGAACAAGUUCAGUGGCGAACGGGUGAGUAACACGUGGGAACUUACCCUGAAGUGGGGAAUAGCCCAUCGAAAGAUGGGGUAAUUCCGCAUGUGAUCGAAAGAUCAAAGUAGGGGACCUGCAAAGGCCUUACGCUUCAGGAGAGGCCCGCGGCCCAUCAGCUAGUUGGUGAGGUAAUGGCCCACCAAGGCUAAGACGGGUAGCUGGCCUGAGAGGGUGGUCAGCCACACUGGGACUGAGACACGGCCCAGACACCUACGGGUGGCAGCAGUCGAGAAUUUUUCACAAUGGGCGAAAGCCUGAUGGAGCGACGCCGCGUGGAGGAUGAAGGCCUUCGGGUUGUAAACUCCUGUCACCCUGGACCAAGGCUUUCAAGUUGAAUAAACUUGGAAGUUUGAUUGUACAGGGAGAGGAAGGGACGGCAAACUCUGUGCCAGCAGCCGCGGUAAUACAGAGGUCCCAAGCGUUGCUCGGAUUUACUGGGCGUAAAGGGUGUGUAGGAGGUUAGAUAAGUCGGAUGUGAAAUCCCUUUGCUUAACAAAGGAACUGCAUUCGAUACUGUCUAGCUAGAGGACCGGAGGGGGAAGCGGAACUCUCGGUGUAGCGGUGAAAUGCGUGGAUAUCGAGAGGAACACCGGUGGCGAAGGCGGCUUCCUGGACGGUACCUGACUCUGAUACACGAAAGCUAGGGGAGCGAACGGGAUUAGAUACCCCGGUAGUCCUAGCCGUAAACGGUGUGCGUUAGGCGUUGGCGGAAUCGACCCCGCCAGUGCCGUAGCUAACGCGUUAAACGCACCGCCUGAGGAGUACGGCCGCAAGGCUAAAACUCAAAGAAAUUGACGGGGGCCCGCACAAGCGGUGGAGCAUGUGGCUUAAUUCGAUGCAACGCGAAGAACCUUACCAGGCCUUGACAUGCCGUGUUCAGUUGCUGAAAGGCAAUGGCCCGCAAGGGCGAACGGCACAGGUGCUGCAUGGCUGUCGUCAGCUCGUGUCGUGAGAUGUUGGGUUAAGUCCCGCAACGAGCGCAACCCCUAUGUCCAGUUGCCGAAAGGCUCUCUGAACAGACUGCCUCGUAUAACGGGGAGGAAGGUGGGGACGACGUCAAGUCAGGAUGGCCCUUAUGGCCUGGGCUGCACACGUGUUACAAUGCCCGGUACAGAGGGAAGCAAGACCGCGAGGUGGAGCAAAUCCCAAAAACCGGGCCCAGUUCAGAUCGAAGGCUGCAACUCGCCUUCGUGAAGCCGGAAUCGCUAGUAAUGGCGCAUCAGCUACGGCGCCGUGAAUACGUUCCCGGGCCUUGUACACACCGCCCGUCACAUCCUGAAAGCUGGUUGUACCCGAAGCCAACCGUAAGGUUGUCGAAGGUAUGGCUAGUGAUUGGGAUGAAGUCGUAACAAGGUAGCCGUAGGGGAACCUGCGGCUGGAUCACCUCCUUU
RNAcentral lists this ribosomal RNA (1524 nucleotides) under Candidatus Methylacidiphilum fumarolicum. RNAcentral's name for it is "bacterial SSU rRNA". It matches the Rfam family "Bacterial small subunit ribosomal RNA". Lineage: Bacteria; Pseudomonadati; Verrucomicrobiota; Methylacidiphilae; Methylacidiphilales; Methylacidiphilaceae. The record is from RNAcentral. RNAcentral also lists the same sequence under 1 other name.